UUUGCUUCAGCUUCCAAGUAGC
Molecule: non-coding RNA, 22 nt
Filed under: Rattus norvegicus (Norway rat)
Lineage: Eukaryota; Metazoa; Chordata; Mammalia; Rodentia; Muridae
Source: RNAcentral